Molecule: long non-coding RNA, 287 nt
Organism: Triticum dicoccoides
Lineage: Eukaryota; Viridiplantae; Streptophyta; Magnoliopsida; Poales; Poaceae
Exons: 3
Source: RefSeq, a predicted model, not a curated record
GCGGCAAAAGAUCACAAAGAGUCGGUCAUGCUAGAAACAUAUCGCUCAUUGGUGAUGCAAGACACAACCGGGAUGCCUGAAGAUGUGAGAUCUUAGCAUGUGUUGGCAUUGAAGUGUUUAAGGGAGAAGCUAUUUGGCAAAAUGGUCUAAGGAGUGAGCUGUGAUGUGGUGAUUGCGGCAGCUGUUACUUAUAGUGGUUGAAGGUUAUUGAUGCAAAUGAGUGGUUGCUCCUUUCCAGCGAAGUACCCUCCAUGCUUUAUGACUUUUGUCAUCAUCCAGAUCAAAAC